Long non-coding RNA from Cebus imitator (Panamanian white-faced capuchin), 595 nucleotides. RefSeq lists it as uncharacterized. The record is from RefSeq and is a predicted model, not a curated record. The transcript is spliced from 3 exons. Lineage: Eukaryota; Metazoa; Chordata; Mammalia; Primates; Cebidae.
AUAAUGCUUCCUAAAGUUUAAUGCGCAUCUGAAUCACCUGGGCAUUUUGUUAAAAGGCAAAUUCUGACUACAGCAGCCCUGCAACUGGGCCUGAGAUCCUGCAGGGCUAGAAAGUUCUCAAACAAUGCUAAUGCCGCUGGACUUCACUGUGAGUAGCAAUCUGCUAGGGCAUACGUUUGAUUUUGUUUUGAUUAGUUUUACACGGAAACAUCUUCCUCCAUCGCUACAAAACUUACUCUUCAAUCCUGACAACUCUGAUGUGGUAUCAUGCCAGGUAAAAUGAUGUGAGUUAUGGAACUGGAGACUCCUCGUGGGCUUGAUCGAGUAAGUAGUCAUGUUGGAGAAGCUCACACUGCAGGCAGCCUCUAGGAAUAACAGGAAGCUUCCGGGACCUGGAGGUGACCUCCAAUCAAUAGCCAGUAAAAAGCUAGGGCCCUAUAGAUUACAGAUACAAGGACACAAUUUCUAUCAACAACUUCAACGAAUUUGGGUGCAGAUUCUUCCUUGUUUGAGCUUCCAGAUGAAAAUGCAGCCCAGCAGCCUUGUAAAACCCCGAGCAGGGGACGCAGUGAAGCCAUGCCUUGACCUAAGGAAA